CAGCCGCCGCGGUAAUACGUAGGGUGCGAGCGUUAAUCGGAAUUACUGGGCGUAAAGCGUGCGCAGGCGGUGAUGUAAGACAGUUGUGAAAUCCCCGGGCUCAACCUGGGAACUGCAUCUGUGACUGCAUCGCUGGAGUGCGGCAGAGGGGGAUGGAAUUCCGCGUGUAGCAGUGAAAUGCGUAGAUAUGCGGAGGAACACCGAUGGCGAAGGCAAUCCCCUGGGCCUGCACUGACGCUCAUGCACGAAAGCGUGGGGAGCAAACAGGAUUAGAUACCCGAGUAGUCCCUGUCUCUUAUAC
This 301-nucleotide ribosomal RNA is filed under the name uncultured bacterium. RNAcentral describes it as "partial 16S ribosomal RNA". It matches the Rfam family "Bacterial small subunit ribosomal RNA", at positions 509 to 807 of the family's 1533-position model. The record is from RNAcentral.